UGCGUCUCGGCCUCGUCCAGA
Molecule: microRNA, 21 nt
Filed under: Human betaherpesvirus 5
Lineage: Duplodnaviria; Heunggongvirae; Peploviricota; Herviviricetes; Herpesvirales; Orthoherpesviridae
Description: hcmv-miR-UL70-5p
Gene: hcmv-miR-UL70-5p
Source: miRBase by way of RNAcentral